Temnothorax curvispinosus is the source of this 1287-nucleotide long non-coding RNA. RefSeq lists it as uncharacterized. NCBI's taxonomy places the organism in Eukaryota, Metazoa, Arthropoda, Insecta, Hymenoptera, Formicidae. The record is from RefSeq and is a predicted model, not a curated record. The transcript has 5 exons.
GAGGGGGGUCGGACUCACGCCCACAACGCCUGCGUCCGAUUGUCAUUUUCAAAGUCGCGAAUCGUAAACAUGUCUGUACGUGCGUGCGUGUUCAUCAGUCGCGUCGAGGUUAUUAUUCGAUCAAGGCCCGCGGCGUAGUCUCGAUCUGUGUGCAAACGCGUCAAGACGUGUUUCGUUCGGUAUAGAAUUUUGUGAAAAUUGACGAUGUAAUAUAUCAUCCGUGUGGUAGUGGGUUAAUAUACGAGUAAAAAGAAGAGGAAUAAAAGCAUAUAUUUUGAGUAAUGGUCGUAUAACCCCUGAUCAAAAGAGCUUGAACCAAUAUUGUCUGAACUAGUCAUCAAGGUCGUCGUCGUCUUCGGACGUGGAUACUCUCAUUUUUUACAGAGAGUCAUCCGUUCCGAAUUGCGCAUCAGACGCAUAGCGUAUUAUUUGUGUUUCGUCCGGUAUAGAAUUUUGUAAAAAUUGACGACCUAAUUUAUAUCAUCCGUGUGGUAGUGGGUUAAUAUAUACGAGUAAAAAGAAGAGGAAUAAACGCAUAUAUUUUGAGUAAUGGUCGUACAGCCCCUGAUCAAGGGAGUUUGAACCAAAUAUUGUCUGGACUAGUCAUCAAAGUCGUCGUCGUCUUCGGACGUGGAUACUCCUAUUUAAUUUUGCUACCUAGUUGUGUCAUCCCUGACAACAUAAGUGGGAACAGGAACCUGCAUGGUGCUACGUUAUAGAUUAGCUAAUAUACUAACUAGCUAAUAAUAAUAAUCAAAACAGCGAAAUUGUUGACGUGUUCGGACGUGGUUACUCAUGAAUUCUUCCUAACCAUGCCUCCAAAGAAGAUUCUUAAAACGAGCUACAUAAAGCAUCAGGCAGCAUCUGCUGCUCGAGAUCAACUCCAAGAAAUUCUUAAUGCUUCACAAGAGGAAGCUAUCAAUAAUGAAAUCCAUAUUGAAAAUCCUCGAGCACAUAUUCAACUUGGAACUGAGCUUCCUGAUGAUAGGGAUGUACCUGCCGAUCUGCCCGCUCCCUUGUCCCCUGUUCACGUCAAUCCUGACUUCCUGUUUGAGGAUUUGCGGCCCGAUUUGCCACAUGUUCCUAUUCAGCAUGUUGAUAUUGAGCAAAAUUUAGUUGAAGAUAUUCUCAGAAGAUUUGUUUUCAAUGACAUCCAUCAUAACGAUGAAUUUUUAUGUGAUGAUAUUGAACAUCAUGAACAAGAUGAUGACGAUGAUUUAUUAACAAGAUCUCUGCAACUGUGGAGUAAUAGAUACAGUAUUACCAGUGUGGCUGUUAAUGCAUUGC